ACCUGUGAAGGAGAAGAGAAAGUGACAGGAUAAGAGCAGAGACAGGGCCACAGCUGCUCUUCCACUCCCCAAUGCCUGGCACUCCAGUCCCUUCAUUCGUUCCUAAGGCUUAGAGCUUAGCUCCAAAUCACACUGCAAGUGUUUGGGUGCCAAAUGUGUCCGGGGGAUGAAUAAAGCGGGCAGAGAUUCAGAAAAUUCUGGGCCUGAGGCUCAAUGGUUGAAUACCUGUAGCACAUACAAGGCCCCAGGUCCAACCAUUAGUACUGCAAAAACAUUAAACAAAACAAAAAACGACAGCUGAAAUGAGAUGUUAAAUCACAACAGAUUUUGGCUAUGGUGGAGAGGGAGGACUCAGUGGGGGAGGACCAUGGAAUGUCCUGGAGAAAGUACACUUCGCCAAAGCACCCUGGAGGGGCAAUGCAGUAUGAGCUAAAGACCGAUACUUAGAUUCAGACUGGGAGGGCAAAUCCCAGCUUUGCCACUUUUCGAUGAAUGAAUCUGAAAGUCUUACCUUCGUGCCUUCACCUCCCAGUCUAUGAAUCGAGGUUCACCACCAUGUCUGUGUUAUAGUGUUUUUGCUUGUGGUAAAAGAAUUACUAUACUUGAUAUAUUCAGAACAGUGUUAGCAUAUAGAAAAUGCCAAAAAAAAAGAGGGAUAUUAAUUUCUAGGAUACCAGAAAUUUCAAGAAAAGAACGUGUACCUUCAAUGCAAAAUUGCCUCACCUUUUUUUUUUUUUCUUUUUGAGAUAAGGUCUCCUGUUGCUUAUAUUCAUCUGGAAUUUGCUAAAUAGCCCAGGUUAGACAGCGACAGACAAUCCUACUUUAGCCUUCUGAGUGCUUUUGCAGGAAUAAACCUCCUCUAGUUUUAUUUUAUUUUGUUUUUGUUGAAGUCUCCCUCCGACCUCAAGCAUAGCUGUAGCCAUUUUGUUCCAUGCCGGCCACAAGACGUUUUCUGACCUACAGAUUCACAUGGUAACAUGGGCACACCCUCACACAGGCACACACAAAAUAAACGAGUGAGGAAUAGCAUGAUUUGUCCCCCCACCCCACCCCCUGAGAGGGUUUCUCUGUGUAGCCCUGGCUGUCCUGGAACUCCCUGUGUAAACCAGGCUGGCCUCAAACCCAGAGAUCAGCCUGCCUCUGCCUUUCAGUUGCUGGGAUCAAAGGUAUGGCCGCCAUUGCCCAGCACGGAUCUGGUUUUACAGCAGGUGAGUGUCAUUUGGCCUACAUCCUGCAUAACUUUUAAGAAGGGACAAAUAAUGUUGUUAUUACAGAAGUGGACUAGUUGAAGGGGGUUGAUGCCUGAUAAAAUUGAUUUUAAACCUUAUUGCACGAUGCCCUGUGCCAGGUUAUGACUGCAUGAAAGCCUCAUCAGAUGCAUCCCUUUGCCUUGACUUUCGAGCCUCCAGAAUGGGGGGAGCCAAAUACUUUUGCUCAUUAUCUCCUGCCCAGAGUGGUCGGCACACUCUCACCUACCAUGUACAUUCUACAUCAGCUUCGGUGUUGAAUAGUUUCUGGAAAUCUCUGCUAGUUAGGAUCGUCGAAAUGGUUUGGCAUAGGCCCUAGCAGUAAUCCCCCAAAAGCAGGUUUUAGGAGAUAGAGAGAUCACUCAGCAGUCAAAAGGAGAACCCGGGUUCAGUUCUCAGCACCGACAUAGGAGUUCACAGCCAUCUGUAACUCCAGUUCCAAGGGCUCUACCAUCUCUUCUGACCUCCCUGGGCAGCAGGCACACACACGGCACACAUACACACACGCAGACAAUACACUAAAUAAAGGGGUAAACAGGAUGGGUUUAAAGUGUGGUUUGAAUGCUGACAGCAUUGUCGGUAUAGCUAUGGCCUCCUGGAGUGGCCACUCUGAAUGGAGCAACAUUUAUCCGGAUAAACACAUUGCCAUGCCUUUAGUAAAACAAUCACUCUCAGUUCUAACAUAACUUGAAUGCGUGCAUGUGCUUUUCUUAAAACCUUGAGUGCUGGCUCCUCCCCAAGCCCCUCUCUUUCGGCAUGAUAUCCCUAUAUCGUCUAGAUAGGCCUGGAACUCACAUUGUACUUCAGACUGGCCGUCAAAUGUCAGCCUGCCCUCUGCGUUACAGGGUGUCCCAAUACCAGCCAUAACUUAAAGUGUUAUUUCUUUUCCUUCAAAAGCAGGACGUCCUGCAUGAUGUGUGCCAAAUGCCACUCAUCGGCUGUAAAGCCAGAUCAAAACCUACUCCCCUCCCCUCUCCUGCCAUUCUCUUGGAUCUCUACCUUUUCACUUGGCUCUUACCUCAGGCUCAGGGCUGUCGGACGCUCUGGAGAGGAGGCUCUCGGUACUAAAACCACUCAACUGAUGUCUCCCUGCAACAACAAAAUGAAUCCAGAAGACAGUGGGCUUUGGAGUGCCCCCCCCCCCCCAUUAUCUCUGCAUGGACGAAUGGGCGUUUUAUGGAGACUGUGAGAACCUGGAAUCCGUGUCUGGCCCUCUGUGGUGAGAGGGUUACCGGACGCUGCUCUGAGACCUGAACACAUUCUAGGGUGUGCCUGUGGAGAAAUCCAUCCCUGGCUUCCAAGGUUGGCAGCAUCGUCUUAUUAAUGUCUUCCCCACCUAUGAGGUAACUGGCUGUCCUCUGCUGCCUACGGCCAAGAGAAGCAGACCCCACACCUAGCUGGCUCCUGACUCUCUGUUCAGAGCUCUCCAGCCCUCACUGAAGGUUCAGAGCACCCAGUGCCGUUCCCCAGCCUGGACACUUAGAGAAAGUUGCAUCUGAAUGGCGAGAGAUGAUGCAUCUUGGGAGUCUAGAGUUUAAAGGGUUAGAAUCCCAUGGAUUAGGAGAAACCUACCCAGCUCUGUCUGCUGCCGGGGCAAGAAGUCAUAAAUAUUUUUGGCUCGCUGCCUGGGUGGAGGCAGAGCCAGUGACGGAGUUACUUGGAGGAUACAGGUAACUAUGACAACCAGGAAGAUGGUCACGAGCACCACAAAACCAGGGAAGAGGAGGUGGCCUUUCUCUCUAGGAGGAAAACCAGGUGUCAUGCUCCAGGUGGCUACAGGAUCUGGGCUUGGGAAUGUUGGAGAAGACAUUUCUUUCAAAUGAUACCAGGGAGGCAAAAAGUCAGAUGCAAGGAAAGAGAGGGAAACCACCCCUGGAUCUUAACUGACUCUCCUGAUGGUCAGAUGCCCCUUUGUGGUUAAACAUUCUUGAAUCCAAAGUUAAGUUGUUUCUGUUAUAUCAGAAACCAAGGCAUUUUCCUAUGCGUGCCCACUCAAGAGACUAAUGUUAAUAUACCGCCUGCAUUAUGAUUUUGAGCUCCUCCACCUAUUGUAGGGAUCACAAGGAAAAAAAAAAUACUCUAAAAGGGAAACCAUGAUGUGGGAAGGAGGUCACGUCACUCUGUGACCCACUACUUCAUACAUGUUCAUAAAAACUUUCUUUAAAUCAACAACGCAACACUCACUGAAUGGCUCCUGGCCUUGGGGCGCUCACUCCAAUCUUUCUUUGGAGUGAUUUUCUUUGUUUAGCUUUGCUAAAUAAACCUUGGUUUAAAUUGUA
Rattus norvegicus (Norway rat) is the source of this 3526-nucleotide non-coding RNA. The record is from RefSeq and is a predicted model, not a curated record. NCBI's taxonomy places the organism in Eukaryota, Metazoa, Chordata, Mammalia, Rodentia, Muridae.